CCACUGAGUGAGGCCAGGGAUCAAACUCGCAACCUCAUGUUACUAAUCGGAUUCACUUCUGCUGCACCACAAGAACCCCUGACUUUGAUUCUUCAAAGACUAUCUUAAAGCAAAAUAAUUUAAUGUCAGGACUGUACUUUCCUACUGGUCCAAAUACCCUAGUAAAUCCUAUAGGGAAAACAUCUACACAAUCAAACCUGGAAUGCUAUUCACUGAUUUUUUUUUUUUUAUUAAGUUAUAUAGGUUUCAGGUACAUUACAUAGUCACUGACAAUUUUAAAAGAUUAUAUUCCAUUUACAGUUAUUAUAAAAUGUUGGCUAUAUUCCCUGCACUGUAUAAUAUAUUCUUGUGGUUUAUUUUAUACAUAGUAGUUUGUGCCAUUUAACCUCCUACCCCAAUUUUGCCCCUCCCCCCACUGGAAACCACUUGCUUGGGCUCUAUACUGUAUGUUUCUUUUUGUUAUGUUCACUAGGUUUUUUUUUAGAUUGGUUUGGUUGUUUGUUUCUUGCUUUUUAGGGCCACACCCGUGGCAUAUGGAAGUUCCCACACUAGGGGUCAAAUCAGAGCUGUAGCUGCUGGCUUAUACCAUGGCCACAGCAACACAGGAUCCAAGCUGCAUCUGCAACCUACACCACAGCUCAGGGCAACACCAGAUCCUUAACCCCCUGAGGGAGGCCAGGGAUUGAACUUGGUCCUCAUGGAUGCUAGUCUGAUUAGUUAACUGAUGAGCCAUGAUAGCAACUCCCAUGUUCACCAAAUAUAAAUAUUAUAAACUUUGGUAAUACAUAAUGACUCAAAUUGGGUAGAAGCAAUGGAGAGCAAUACAGAGACACUAAUUUCCUCAGUGAAAGCCCUAUAUUAUAACCUAAAAUUGUUGGAGGAAAAAAGAAUAUGCCUUUAAAUCUAAAAGGAAAGCAACAGAAGAAUUAAAAGAUAAUAUAAGUGAGAAACCAGAAGUUUUCCCACUAAGAUCAGGAACAAGCUAAGGCUGACCCCUCUCACUACUCCUUCUUCAACAUGGUAUUAGAAUUCUAGCUAAUGCAGUAAGAUAAACAAAGGAAAUAAAAGGUAUACUGAUAGAAAAAGAAAAAAAAAACUUUGUUUACAGAUGACAUAAUUUUUUAUAUAGAAAAUACAAACGAAUCAACAAAUAAACUCUCUUGGCACAAAUAAGCUAUUACAGCAAGGUUUCAGGAUGUAAGGCCAAUGUAAAAAAGUCAAUCACUUUCCUAUGUACUACCAAUGAAGUAGAAUUCGAAAUUUAAAACACAGUAUCAUUAUAGUAGCAUUCCCCAAAAUGAAACUCUUAGGGAUAAAUCUAACAAAAUUAUACAAUAUUAGGUUUUGAGGAAAGCUACCAAACUCAAAAGAAAUCAAAGAACUAAGUAAACGGAAUGAUAUUCCAUGUUCAUGGAUAGGAAGACUCAAUAUUAUCAAGAUGUUGGUUUUUCCAACUUCAGCUAUAGAUUCAAUGUAAUUCCAAUCAAAUCCCAACAAGUUAUUUUGUACCUACUGACAAACUGAAUCUAAAGAGGCAAGAGACCCAGAAUAGUCAACCCAGUAUUGAAGAAGAACAAAGCUGGAGAACAAGAAACCCUUAAAACUCAGUAAUGAGAAAAUGAAACAACCCAAUUAAAAAACAGCCUCCCCCCCGCAAAAAAAAAUAGGCCAAAGACCUAAACAGACACCUCACCAAAGAAUAUAUACAAGUGGCAAAUAAAUAACUGACUAAAUUGUUUCAUGUUAUAUGUCAUUAGGGUACACAAGUUAAAACAACAAGAUACCUCUACAACACCAAAAUCCAAAACAUUACCAACACCAAAUGCUAGAGAGGAUGUAAAACAAUAGGAACUCUCAUUCACUGCUGAGGGGAAUGCAAAAUAGUAUGCAAAAUAGGAACUUUGGAAGACAAUUUGGCAGUUUCAUACAAAACUAAAUACACUCUUUAUAACUAUACAAGUAUCACUCCUUGGUACCUAACCAAAGGAGUUGAAAACCUGUGUCAAAAAAAAAAAAAAACAAACAAACAAACCCUGUACACUGAUGUUUAUAGCAGUUCUGCUUUUUUUUUUUUUUUUUUUGUCUUUCCUAGGGCUGCAUCCGCGGCAUAACGGAGGCUCCCAGGCUAGGGGUCGAAUCGGAGCUGUGGCCACCGGCCUAUGCCAGCACCACAGCAACACGGGAUCCGAGCCUCUUCGACAAACUACACCACAGCUCACAGCAACACCAGAUCCUUAACCCACUGAGCAAGGCCAGGGAUCGAACCCUCAACCUCAUGGUUCCUAGUCAGAUUUGUUACCACUGAGCAACAGGGGAACUCCAGCAGUUCCCCUGCAAAAAAGUUGCAAUUUAGAAGCACCCAAGUUGCCCUUCACUAGGUGAAUGGAUAAGUAAAUUGUGGUAUACCCAGACAAUGGAAUAUAAUGCUAAAAAGAAACAUAUUAUCAAGGUAGGAAAAGACAUGGACAUGGAUAUUACAAGUGAAAGAAGCCAAUCUGAAAAGACUAUAUAUGAUUUCCAACUAUUUGCCUCUAAAAAAGGUAAAACUAUGGAGA
Molecule: long non-coding RNA, 2555 nt
Filed under: Sus scrofa (pig)
Lineage: Eukaryota; Metazoa; Chordata; Mammalia; Artiodactyla; Suidae
Description: lncRNA (ENSSSCG00005008059.1)
Source: RNAcentral